RNAcentral lists this long non-coding RNA (368 nucleotides) under Arachis ipaensis. RNAcentral's name for it is "long non-coding RNA (AIPA_LNC000900)". Lineage: Eukaryota; Viridiplantae; Streptophyta; Magnoliopsida; Fabales; Fabaceae. The record is from RNAcentral.
CCAAGUGAUGAUUCAUCAGCUACCUCAUCAUUUCCACAACAGAGCCUAGAAACAACAAAUAAUCACCAAGGAAGAAGAACAACACAAGAUCCUCCUCAUCAUCAUCAUGCAGGUGCAGUGGAAGAAGAAGCAAACAUCAUGAUCAAAUUCAAGUGGAGGAGUGCAUUUUGCAUGUGUCUUCCAAGCUUUGGUAAUAAAGCAAAAGGAGUUAAGAAAGAAGAAGUAGCACCAAGAAUUGAGGAACAUUAUUCAGUGAGUCAUGUCAUGUCUAGUACUUUCUCUUUUGAACCCUAUGACCAUAAUAAUAAUAAUAAUAAGGGUAACAAUGAAGAUGAUGAAGAAGAGAAUUAUAAUCAUGAGAAUCAAGG